CAUAAGAUUCUUUUCAAUUGUGAAUAAUGUCAAGAUUCUAAAUAGGAAAAACAUUUAGAUUCUGAGAGAGUAAAUUCAAAUAAGAAAAAUCAGACUAGAUCAAAGAAAAUAAAAUUACUCACAAUUUUUUUUAAAUCAGAUCAAACUAAACAAAAAACUAGAGACCAGCCUAGAUAAAGAGCAUAAAGCCUUGGUCCGCCCCAAUCCAGUUACUCCGCUUCAUGGCAGACCGCUGUAUCCGGCCAUUACCGGGAGCCACGGAGUAAAAUUCAAUUUACACUAACAAAAGCCCCUGAAAUUGGAAAUUGAAAAAACUGGGAAACAUCGAUUAUUCAGUAAUCACCAAUCCAAAAAACCCUCAACACAAUUUACAACUCCACAAUCCACCCACAAACACAACAACAAUGGAUUCAAAAGCAGCACGAAAUGCAAAGGAGUGUUUAGACCUAGUAUUUGAGAUGUCAAACAUCUUGAACACUCAACUUGAUCGUCACACAAUCUCUCUCCUAAUCGCCCUUUCUGAAUUGGGUUUCAACCCCGAAGCGCUUGCUGCUCUUGUCAAGGAGCUUCCUGCUGGAACUGUUUCAUCUUCUUAACAAGCUGCAGCAGCUGCUGUUGGGGUUGGGAGGUGAAGAAGAUCUAGCAGAAGAGUUAAAAAAAUGGAGGAGAGAGAAAGUCUUAAUUGCUACUCCAAGGAACCCCUGAGCCUGGCAGUUGUAGUUGUACUGGCCCUCAUCUUUAUUGUCUUUCUCUUCAGUCUUCACAUUAAUUCCUCUCUGACAAUUACUCUGUUUUAGCUUCUUAAGCUAAUGAGUGAGUGCUCAUAAUCGUUAUGAACCCGACAUUUCUCGUAUUACUCGUAAGUUAAUAGUUUUUCGUUUGA
This is a long non-coding RNA of Spinacia oleracea (spinach), 883 nucleotides long. RefSeq lists it as uncharacterized. NCBI's taxonomy places the organism in Eukaryota, Viridiplantae, Streptophyta, Magnoliopsida, Caryophyllales, Amaranthaceae. The transcript is spliced from 2 exons. The record is from RefSeq and is a predicted model, not a curated record.